UUCUAUUAGAUCUAAUUAAUAGUAAUAUCUGCUCAAUGUAAAAAUAAAUAGCCGCAAAUUUGUGCUAAGGUAGCAUAAUAAUUUGUCUUUUAAAUGAAGACCAGAACAAAAGAUAAAACAUUUCAAUUAAUCUCCCAAAUUCAAAUUUUCAAAAUUAUCCUAAAUGUAAAAAGACAUUUAUAUAAAAGAAAGACGACAAGACCCUAUUGAACUUCACUAUAGUUUAACUGGGGCAGUUAAUUAAUUAAUAUUUUAAUUAAAAUUCUAAAAUCAAAUAGACCCAAUAACAUUGAUUAAAUAAUCAAGUUACCAUAGGGAUAACAGCGUAAUAAAUUUCUAAAGACCUUAUACAAAUAAAAGAUUGCGACCUCGAUGUUGAAUAAUCACCUAACUAACGCAAAAGUUACUAAAGGAAGUCUGUUCGACUUUUAAAAAAUUACA
Molecule: ribosomal RNA, 441 nt
Filed under: Anyphops barbertonensis
Lineage: Eukaryota; Metazoa; Arthropoda; Arachnida; Araneae; Selenopidae
Description: partial 16S ribosomal RNA
Source: RNAcentral